This 156-nucleotide unclassified non-coding RNA is filed under the name uncultured fungus. RNAcentral's name for it is "sequence contains ITS1". The record is from RNAcentral. Lineage: Eukaryota; Fungi.
UUAAUUCUAGAUUGUAUUUCAGACACAGACAGACAGAUGUACGCAUUAAAUGCGACGCCCUCAGGCGCCGAAGCACGUCUCAAUUCCACGGGUUUGAGGGUGUGAAGGCCAUUAGGCCAUUCAGUAAUGAUCCCUCCGCAGGUUCACCUACGGAAA